RNAcentral lists this ribosomal RNA (253 nucleotides) under uncultured bacterium. RNAcentral's name for it is "partial 16S ribosomal RNA". It matches the Rfam family "Bacterial small subunit ribosomal RNA", at positions 524 to 776 of the family's 1533-position model. The record is from RNAcentral.
UACGAAGGGGGCUAGCGUUGCUCGGAAUGACUGGGCGUAAAGGGCGCGUAGGCGGUUUAUACAGUCAGAUGUGAAAUUCCUGGGCUCAACCUGGGGACUGCAUUUGAUACGUAUGAACUUGAGUGGAGAAGAGGGUCGUGGAAUUUCCAGUGUAGAGGUGAAAUUCGUAGAUAUUGGAAAGAACACCGGUGGCGAAGGCGGCGACCUGGUCUUUAACUGACGCUGAGGCGCGAAAGCGUGGGGAGCAAACAGG